This 443-nucleotide ribosomal RNA is filed under the name uncultured bacterium. RNAcentral describes it as "partial 16S ribosomal RNA". It matches the Rfam family "Bacterial small subunit ribosomal RNA", at positions 338 to 795 of the family's 1533-position model. The record is from RNAcentral.
CCUACGGGAGACAGCAGUGGGGAAUAUUGGGCAAUGGGCGCAAGCCUGACCCAGCCACGCCGCGUGAAGGAAGAAGGCUUUCGGGUUGUAAACUUCUUUUCUCAGGGACGAAGAAAGUGACGGUACCUGAGUAAUAAGCCACGGCUAACUACGUGCCAGCAGCCGCGGUAAUACGUAGGGGGCAAGCGUUAUCCGGAUUUAUUGGGUGUAAAGGGCGUGUAGGCGGGAGGGCAAGUCAGAUGUGAAAACUCAGGGCUCAACCCUGGGACUGCAUCUGAAACUGUAGUUCUUGAGUACUGGAGAGGCAGACGGAAUUCCUGGUGUAGCGGUGAAAUGCGUAGAUAUUAGGAGGAAUACCAGUGGCGAAGGCGGUCUGCUGGACAGCAACUGACGCUGAGGCGCGAAAGCGUGGGGAGCAAACAGGAUUAGAUACCCUUGUAGUC